UACGUAGGGUGCGAGCGUUAAUCGGAAUUACUGGGCGUAAAGCGUGCGCAGGCGGUUUUGUAAGCCAGAUGUGAAAUCCCCGGGCUUAACCUGGGAAUGGCAUUUGGGACUGCAUUGCUGGAGUGCGGCAGAGGGGGAUGGAAUUCCGCGUGUAGCAGUGAAAUGCGUAGAUAUGCGGAGGAACACCGAUGGCGAAGGCAAUCCCCUGGGCCUGCACUGACGCUCAUGCACGAAAGCGUGGGGAGCAAACAGG
This 253-nucleotide ribosomal RNA is filed under the name uncultured bacterium. RNAcentral's name for it is "partial 16S ribosomal RNA". It matches the Rfam family "Bacterial small subunit ribosomal RNA", at positions 524 to 776 of the family's 1533-position model. The record is from RNAcentral.